UGAGCCAGCGGGGAGAGGCCCGGGCGGAGGAGGCUGCGGACUCCUAGAGGUUCAGUGCCGGAAGUUGGGCCUGGAAAGGGGGCACCGCCUUCCCGGUUCUGGUGGCGGGGAGUGAGGGGACGGGCGAAAGCGGCACAGGGAACAGCAUGACACGGGCCUGAGGCAGGGCACAUUUGGAAAGGGGCGAGGAGAGGGCAGUGGCUUCUGGCACGGCAGCAGUGGGCAUACAGAGGCAGUCGGGACCCGUCUGGAAGAGCCUCCGCCCGGGCAUUCCAGCUGGAGAUGCGUGACCUUCGGUCUGCGGCA
RNAcentral lists this long non-coding RNA (306 nucleotides) under Homo sapiens (human). RNAcentral describes it as "HSALNT0145342". Lineage: Eukaryota; Metazoa; Chordata; Mammalia; Primates; Hominidae. The record is from RNAcentral.